GCCAGCAGCAAUAUCACAACUGCCAGCCCACUGAAGCUAAGCAGGUGUGAGCCUGGUCAGUACCUGGAUGAGAGACCUCCUGGGAAAAACUAAGGUUGCUGCUAGAA
This 107-nucleotide ribosomal RNA is filed under the name Lepisosteus oculatus (spotted gar). The record is from RNAcentral. Lineage: Eukaryota; Metazoa; Chordata; Actinopteri; Semionotiformes; Lepisosteidae.